Molecule: ribosomal RNA, 389 nt
Filed under: uncultured bacterium
Lineage: Bacteria
Description: bacterial SSU rRNA
Rfam family: Bacterial small subunit ribosomal RNA
Source: RNAcentral
GACGAACGCUGGCGGCGUGCUUAACACAUGCAAGUCGAGCGGUAAGGCCCUUCGGGGUACACGAGCGGCGAACGGGUGAGUAACACGUGGGUGACCUGCCCUCCACUCUGGGAUAAGCCCGGGAAACUGGGUCUAAUACCGGAUAUGACCUCUGGAUGCAUGUCUGGUGGUGGAAAGCCUGGGUUGUAUGACUCUGGCGGUGGGGGAUGGGCCCGCGGUCUAUCAGCUUGUUGGGGGGUGAUGGCCUACCAAGGCGACGACGGAUAGCCGGCCUGAGAGGGUGAUCGGCCACACUGGGACUGAGACACGGCCCAGACUCCUACGGGAGGCAGCAGUGGGGAAUCUUGCGCAAUGGGCGGAAGCCUGACACAGCAACGCCGCGUGGGGGA